This 324-nucleotide long non-coding RNA is filed under the name Brassica napus (rape). RNAcentral's name for it is "long non-coding RNA (BNAP_LNC006972)". The record is from RNAcentral. Lineage: Eukaryota; Viridiplantae; Streptophyta; Magnoliopsida; Brassicales; Brassicaceae.
GGGUCCUUUCGGGUCCGGGUCUUUCGGGUCUAAGAGUUUAGGACCCGAUAGGGUAAUUUCAAAUUUUCGGUUCCGGGUCGGUUCGGGUCGUGCCGGGUCCGGGUCGGGUCGGGUCUUAGAUAGUUAGACCCAUUCGGGUAAUUAGAAUUUAUCGGUUCGGAUUCGGUUCGGUUUCGGGUCGGGUUCGGUUCGGGUUCGAUCUAAAAAAGACCUAAAAAUACAAAAAAAUAUCUGAAAAUAUUUAUAUAUCCGAAAAUAUUCAAAAUUUUAUUCAAAAUUUGUGUUUUUAUUAUAUUAAAAUAUGUAUAUAUACUAAACUAUGCG